Molecule: ribosomal RNA, 586 nt
Filed under: Rhodotorula paludigena
Lineage: Eukaryota; Fungi; Basidiomycota; Microbotryomycetes; Sporidiobolales; Sporidiobolaceae
Description: eukaryotic LSU rRNA
Rfam family: Eukaryotic large subunit ribosomal RNA
Source: RNAcentral
AAAAGCGGAGGAGAAGAAACUCACAAGGAUUCCCCUAGUAGCGGCGAGCGAAGCGGGAAGAGCUCAAAUUUAUAAUCUGGCACUUUCAGUGUCCGAGUUGUAAUCUCUAGAAGUGUUUUCCGCGUUGGACCGCACACAAGUCUGUUGGAAUACAGCGGCACAGUGGUGACACCCCCGUACACGGUGCGGACGCCCAGCGCUUUGUGAUACACUUUCGAAGAGUCGAGUUGUUUGGGAAUGCAGCUCAAAUUGGGUGGUAAAUUCCAUCUAAAGCUAAAUAUUGGCGAGAGACCGAUAGCGAACAAGUACCGUGAGGGAAAGAUGAAAAGCACUUUGGAAAGAGAGUUAACAGUACGUGAAAUUGUUGGAAGGGAAACGCUUGAAGUCAGACUUGCUUGCCGGAGCUUGCUUCGGUUUGCAGGCCAGCAUCAGUUUUCCGGGGUGGAUAAUGGCGGUUAGAAGGUAGCAGCUUCAGCUGUGUUAUAGCUUUCCGCUGGAUACAUCUUGGGGGACUGAGGAACGCAGCGUGCUUUUAGACGGGGGUUUCGACCUCUUCACGCUUAGGAUGCUGAUUUAUUCAUGUACC